RNAcentral lists this unclassified non-coding RNA (239 nucleotides) under uncultured fungus. RNAcentral's name for it is "partial contains 5.8S ribosomal RNA, internal transcribed spacer 2, and large subunit ribosomal RNA". The stretch from base 1 to 52 matches the Rfam family "5.8S ribosomal RNA", at positions 103 to 154 of the family's 154-position model. The record is from RNAcentral. Lineage: Eukaryota; Fungi.
AACGCACAUUGCGCCCCUCGGUACUCCGGGGGGCAUGCCUGUCCGAGCGUCAUUGAAAACCAUCAAGCCCGGCUUGGUCUUGGGCGUGGUCUUUGGGACCCGCCCGCAACCCGUCGGCGGUGCCGGCCCGGCCCUGAGCGUAGCAAAGACCCUCGCUCGGGGGCUGCGGCGGCGCCAGCCUAGAGAACGUACCUCCUUAGUCUGACCUCGGAUCAGGUAGGGAUACCCGCUGAACUUAA